UCCCCGGUGGUCCAGUGGCUAAGACACUGCACUUCCAACACAGGGGGACUGGGUUCAAUCCCUGGUUAGGGAA
This 73-nucleotide transfer RNA is filed under the name Bos taurus (domestic cattle). It matches the Rfam family "tRNA". From Rfam's summary of the family: Transfer RNA (tRNA) molecules are approximately 80 nucleotides in length. Their secondary structure includes four short double-helical elements and three loops (D, anti-codon, and T loops). Further hydrogen bonds mediate the characteristic L-shaped molecular structure. tRNAs have two regions of fundamental functional importance: the anti-codon, which is responsible for specific mRNA codon recognition, and the 3' end, to which the tRNAs corresponding amino acid is attached (by aminoacyl-tRNA synthetases). tRNAs cope with the degeneracy of the genetic code in two manners: having more than one tRNA (with a specific anti-codon) for a particular amino acid; and 'wobble' base-pairing, i.e. permitting non-standard base-pairing at the 3rd anti-codon position. The record is from Rfam by way of RNAcentral. Lineage: Eukaryota; Metazoa; Chordata; Mammalia; Artiodactyla; Bovidae. RNAcentral also lists the same sequence under 2 other names.